CCAGGCGUGUGGGUAAAGAGUGCCUCAAUCAAGACUGUGAAGAUCCCAGGCAAAAGCCAUUCCUCUAAGAAGUGCUGGGAGGACCAGUUCAUUCAUGGAACCACUGCCUUAAAAAAAAGAUAAAAACAGAACAAACCUAAACAACGGUGAGCAGUGGCCAAGAAAAGAGGGAACAGCAAGGGAAAAAUAACAAUAUUGAACACAACCAAUAAUAGUCAGGCGCACUUCACGUACAUCGUUUUCUUUAUCCUCACAAAACCCCUCAGAGGCGAGUGGAGAAGUGACACAAAGAGGCUGACAGAGGGAAAGCGGCCAUGUGACAAUGGAGUUAUGCUACAGCUGCAAGCCAGCAAACACCUGGGGCUACCAGAAGCCAGAAGAGACCAGAAAGGAUCUUCCCCUAGAGCCUACAGAGAGAACAUGGCCCUACCAACACCUGAUUCAGACCACAAGUCUCCAGAACCGUGAGAUGAUACAUUUCUGUUAUUUAAAGCCACACACUUUGUGGUGUUUUUGGUACAGCAGCUUAGGAAACUGACACAGCGUCUGAGUCUGUAAAUCCUAAUCUCUCCUGCCACUAAGUGUUCCUUUCCCCUUGUGUUCCUGAUUGAGCAAUCUGAUGUCUUUCCUUCUUCCUCUGUUCUUGUGGUCAGGGCUGGGUCUCAUGCAUGGCCCUGGCCAUCCACAAACUCUGAGCAGCACAAACACUGGGUGCUCCACCAUGGGUGCUUUCUCCAGAGAUCUCAGAGAUCUCGUUAAAGUCCUACAAUAGCCUUUGUGUCCACACCCAUUUUACAGACAAGAAAAUUG
Molecule: long non-coding RNA, 810 nt
Organism: Trichechus manatus latirostris (Florida manatee)
Lineage: Eukaryota; Metazoa; Chordata; Mammalia; Sirenia; Trichechidae
Exons: 3
Source: RefSeq, a predicted model, not a curated record